Molecule: ribosomal RNA, 787 nt
Filed under: uncultured bacterium
Lineage: Bacteria
Description: bacterial SSU rRNA
Rfam family: Bacterial small subunit ribosomal RNA
Source: RNAcentral
AGAGUUUGAUUAUGGCUCAGAUUGAACGCUGGCGGCGUGCCUAACACAUGCAAGUCGAGCGGUAACGCGGGAGCAAUCCUGGCGACGAGCGGCGAACGGGUGAGUAACGCUUCGGAAUCUACCCAGUAGUGGGGAAUAACUAACCGAAAGGUUAGCUAAUGCCGCAUACGACCUGAGGGUGAAAGCGGGGGAUCGUAAGACCUCGCGCUAUUGGAUGAGCCGAAGUCGGAUUAGCUAGUUGGUAGGGUAACGGCCUACCAAGGCGACAAUCCGUAGCUGGUCUGAGAGGACGACCAGCCACACUGGGACUGAGACACGGCCCAGACUCCUACGGGAGGCAGCAGUGGGGAAUAUUGGACAAUGGGGGCAACCCUGAUCCAGCGACGCCGCGUGUGUGAAGAAGGCCUGCGGGUUGUAAAGCACUUUUAGUGGGGAUGAAAAGCUCAGGGCUAAUACCCUUGAGUCUUGACCUAACCCACAGAAAAAGCACCGGCUAACUCUGUGCCAGCAGCCGCGGUAAUACAGAGGGUGCGAGCGUUAAUCGGAAUUACUGGGCGUAAAGCGUGCGUAGACGGUUUCGUAAGUCGGAUGUGAAAUCCCCGGGCUCAACCUGGGAAUUGCAUUCGAGACUGCGAGGCUAGGGUGCGGAAGAGGGAAGCGGAAUUUCCGGUGUAGCGGUGAAAUGCGUAGAUAUCGGAAGGAACAUCAGUGGCGAAAGCGGCUUCCUGGUCCAGCACCGACGUUCAGGCACGAAAGCGUGGGGAGCAAACAGGAUUAGAUACCCUGU